RNAcentral lists this long non-coding RNA (1128 nucleotides) under Orussus abietinus. Its description in RNAcentral is "uncharacterized LOC105697633, transcript variant X1". Lineage: Eukaryota; Metazoa; Arthropoda; Insecta; Hymenoptera; Orussidae. The record is from RNAcentral.
CUUGUUGGGACGCUUCCAGGAAGAGCGUCGCCGAAUUUCCAAAAAGAUUGGGUGCCAUCUUUCAGGACGAUCUGGAAAAUUGCGUUAAUUUAAAUCAUGCAAGAACUUCAAUUUGAAAGAUAGAACGGAUUAGCAUUUCCAACGUCACAAGGUGUUCAAGAGAAAUAAUUCAUUUCUGUCAGAUAUUCAAACGAAGAGACAUAUGAUGCAUAAGAAACCGAAGGAAUAAUGAGGUGCAUGGCCAGAAAAACCCUCAUAGAGGCCGGAAAAAAAAAUUGUUGACUCGAACAGUCGCUCAAAAAAAAAUCCUUUGGCCUGCGCUGAAAGAUCAAGACGAGUGGUUUGCAUGACUAAAGAAUCUAUUAUCUCUUCUUCCUACGAAUGAUAAUGAAACCCCAGCAAUUCUAUUAACCCUAAUUACACGCGUGCCUAGACUUUCUGAAGAGGAUUUAAACAGGCAAAGAGUCAUCAUUUUUCUUCGAGCCAACGUUUCAACAUUGGAGGUAAAUCAAAAGGAAUGAGAACCAGGUUCAUAGUCAGUCAGGUGAAAUAAUUAGACAUUAAAUUAAAUAUUGUUAAUAACUAAAAAUUGCAGUUGGUCAGCUGCAAACCGGGAAACGUCAUCAUGGUCCAUGCAGAAAUCGAAGAAAUGAGAUGGACCCGGGCGUAUCGCAGUUCAUAGAAAUCUUAGAGCUCUCAUCAAUCACCCAUGGAAAGAGAAAUGGCAUUGUCAGAUAUUCUCCUCGCAGAUGUUCCACGUAGACGUCCUCUCGACCGCUUUUAAGGAUCUCGACGUCGUGAAAGCUAUCCCAUUGUGCUGAUCGUUAAACCCGAAGGUGCACCGCGAGUCGUAAAGUCGACGCCAUCUCCCAUCGUCGCCAUUCGUCUUAUAAUAACUAUUUUCCCGGCUUUCCAGUGGUUUCUAACAUUUUUUACGAUACGAUAAAAAUUACGAUAGAACGAAUUGAUCCCGAUCCGGAGCAGAUCUCCGUCCCACACCUAUCACCGACCUCGAUACCUUGAACUGCACGCUUAGAAAAUCCACCGAGAAGAGCCAAAUUGCGAAUACGAGUACAUGCCUAUUAAAAAUUAAAAAUUAAAUAUUAAACACAAUAAUAUUUCCGGAAA